UGCCAGCCGCCGCGGUAAUACGAAGGGACCUAGCGUAGUCCGGAAUUACUGGGCUUAAAGAGUUCGUAGGUGGAUUGGAAAGUCGGAUGUGAAAUCUCACAGCUUAACUGUGGAACUGCAUUCGAAACUUCCAGACUAGAGUGUGAGAGGGGUGAAGGGAAUUCCCAGUGUAAGGGUGAAAUCUGCAGAGAUUGGGAAGAACACCGGUCGCGAAGGCGCUUCACUGGCUCACUACUGACGCUGAGGGACGAAAGCUAGGGUAGCCAACGGGAUUAGAUA
This 279-nucleotide ribosomal RNA is filed under the name uncultured bacterium. RNAcentral describes it as "partial 16S ribosomal RNA". It matches the Rfam family "Bacterial small subunit ribosomal RNA", at positions 506 to 784 of the family's 1533-position model. The record is from RNAcentral.